RNAcentral lists this ribosomal RNA (506 nucleotides) under uncultured bacterium. Its description in RNAcentral is "partial 16S ribosomal RNA". It matches the Rfam family "Bacterial small subunit ribosomal RNA", at positions 28 to 523 of the family's 1533-position model. The record is from RNAcentral.
GAUGAACGCUAGCUACAGGCUUAACACAUGCAAGUCGAGGGGUAACGAGAGGAAAGCUUGCUUUCCUUGUCGACGACCGGCGCACGGGUGAGUAACGCGUAUCCAACCUGCCCCCAACUAAGGAAUAACCUUGCGAAAGUAAGACUAAUACCUUAUAAUUUCCUCAGAUGACAUCUGACGAGGAAUAAAGAUUUAUCGGUUGUGGAUGGGGAUGCGUCUGAUUAGCUUGUUGGCGGGGUAACGGCCCACCAAGGCAACGAUCAGUAGGGGUACUGAGAGGAAGGUCCCCCACAUUGGAACUGAGCCACGGUCCAAACUCCUACGGGAGGCAGCAGUGAGGAAUAUAGGUCAAUGGGCGAAAGCCUGAACCAGCCAAGUAGCGUGCAGGAUGACGGCCCUAUGGGUUGUAAACUGCUUUUAUACAGGAAUAAAGUUAGCCACGUGUGGUUAUUUGUAGGUACUGUAUGAAUAAGGACCGGCUAAUUCCGUGCCAGCAGCCGCCGCCG